Molecule: ribosomal RNA, 777 nt
Filed under: uncultured bacterium
Lineage: Bacteria
Description: bacterial SSU rRNA
Rfam family: Bacterial small subunit ribosomal RNA
Source: RNAcentral
AGAGUUUGAUCCUGGCUCAGGACGAACGCUGGCGGCGUGCUUAACACAUGCAAGUCGAACGAGAGGAGAAGAGAAGCUUGCUUCUUUUCAAAUCGAGUGGCAAACGGGUGAGUAACACGUAAACAACCUGCCUUCAGGAUGGGGACAACAGACGGAAACGACUGCUAAUACCGAAUACGCUCAGAGAGCCGCAUGGCUUUCUGAGGAAAGGGUGGCCUCUACCUGUAAGCUAUCGCCUGAAGAGGGGUUUGCGUCUGAUUAGGCAGUUGGUGAGGUAACGGCCCACCAAACCUACGAUCAGUAGCCGGUCUGAGAGGAUGAACGGCCACACUGGAACUGAGACACGGUCCAGACUCCUACGGGAGGCAGCAGUGGGGAAUCUUCCGCAAUGGGCGAAAGCCUGACGGAGCAACGCCGCGUGAGUGAUGACGGCCUUCGGGUUGUAAAGCUCUGUGAUCGGGGACGAACGGUUCGUGGGACAAUACCCCAUGGAAGUGACGGUACCCGAAUAGCAAGCCACGGCUAACUACGUGCCAGCAGCCGCGGUAAUACGUAGGUGGCAAGCGUUGUCCGGAAUUAUUGGGCGUAAAGCGCGCGCAGGCGGCUUCCUAAGUCCAUCUUAAAAGUGCGGGGCUUAACCCCGUGAUGGGAUGGAAACUGGGGAGCUGGAGUAUCGGAGAGGAAAGNGGAAUUCCUAGUGUAGCGGUGAAAUGCGUAGAGAUUAGGAAGAACACCGGUGGGCGAANNGACUUUCUGGACGANANUGACGCUGNANGC